Long non-coding RNA from Lutra lutra (Eurasian river otter), 1311 nucleotides. RefSeq lists it as uncharacterized. Lineage: Eukaryota; Metazoa; Chordata; Mammalia; Carnivora; Mustelidae. The transcript has 3 exons. The record is from RefSeq and is a predicted model, not a curated record.
ACAAGCAGAGAGCCGCACUGAGCACAGCAGCCUGCAGGAGGAAGGAAAAAAAGGAGAGCUUUGGAUGGCAGGAUCUCUCCCUGACACUGGCGUCAGGUUGACUACAGGAAAUGAGAGAUGAGAAGGGCCGGUAGUGCCUUUAACGAAGAACGACGCCAUCUUGAAGAGUCUGGAAGUCUCACGAUCUCGGCCUGAAGCAGAAGCAGAAUGGAAGAGCUCGGCCCAGAGCUUUCCACGCUGGAGAGAACCAACCCCACAAAGACUCAGAACCUCCCGGUGCUCCUUUGGCAUCAGCCAACCGGGAUUCACAAACUCAGCUCCUUCUCUGCCCUUCCCUGGAGAAAACCAAAAUGGGCCGAGGGAAAAGACACAGCCGUCCUGCCAGUAGCUGGUCUUCUUUGACUGGUCUGCUUUGCUGAUCUCUUCCAGAGGCUGCGGAUACACUAGACCAAGAAUAUUCAGAAGCUGGUUUUGCAAAGGAAUGAAUGAACCUGCUUGGGAGAAGCUCCCAUUUCAGACGAGUGCCAGAACAAUGCGCAUGAGUCCAUGUUAGCUAUAUGAGGAAAAAGCGGGCUACCACAGUGGUACAGCUCGCCCCCCAGUCAAACUCUUGAUGUUAUGCCUAGGAAGAUCCACUAUCAUCCAAGAGAAGAUCGGAUUCCCUCAAACACAGAAUCAUGAGCUAGCCACCACUGGCAGUGAGCAGGACAUAGUCUCUAAGUGUCAAAACAGGCAUUCCUAACGAUCCUGACAGCAAAGAGAACAUAGUGUGUGUUUUUUAACUGCAUUUAUAUCUAAUGAACAAAUGAACAAAUACCAUGACCUUGAUGACUGCUUCUCCUGCGGUUCCUUGUAACAAGAGGUUACCAGUGAUCUGAUUUGUCUUCCCCUACUUCUAAUUGUAGGAAUUUGGGGGGCCAAGAGAAUGGAGGGAGUAAGCCAUGUUUUGAUCGAUCCGUGGCAGCAACCGUAGGCAAACCCAGGUGAUAGGGAGAGAAGCUGAAAUUGCAGUGGCAUAAAAACAAUUUAUGUUUCUCUCCAGGGUACUAUCACUAUCAAAUCGGACAUAACGAUAUGUCAGACACAAUCCCUGCACUUGGGCACAGACCCAUUCCCAUUCCUGCUCCAGAGCAGACCAUGGAAAGUCUGAGACACCAACUAGAUCCCCCACACUCUCUCCGGUCACCGUUUUCUGGAGCCCUACAAUGAACCAGGAGUUGAGAGAGGAUCGUUUCAGAUCUCAAAGCACCACAUUCUCAAGAAUAAAAAUGAAUUAUCUUCACCAAACCAAGGAGGGAAAGUGUGCUGCAA